This is a non-coding RNA of Corylus avellana, 844 nucleotides long. NCBI's taxonomy places the organism in Eukaryota, Viridiplantae, Streptophyta, Magnoliopsida, Fagales, Betulaceae. The record is from RefSeq and is a predicted model, not a curated record.
UCUUGUGCAAGAAGAACACACAAAUCGAGAAUUUUUUUCUCCGUUUUGCCCCUAACCUGGUAACCCACUUUUACUAAAAUACCCCCCCCACGAAUACUCCUUGUCCGUCCAAAAUCAACCUAGGUUAUGGUUCUGGGUUUUGUUUUCUCAAUCGUUCGUUCUCGGACUUAGAAGCUGGUCUGCGGGCUUUAAAGAGAAAUUUUUUGUCGGUGUUUCGAGAGGUUUGUGUUCAAUUUUGAGCCCUGAUGCCACGGUGACUGGGUGCAACUCUUCAUUUUUUGAAACUCUGCAUAGCACUUGUUUGAUGAAAUGGGCGCGAGAAUCUCGAAUCUGAUUCCUGUCAUUAUGCUUAUUUCUACUGAAGUGGGUUUGCUUGGAAUAUAGCUCAUUGCUUGAUCUGAUGACUCAAUUGCUUUCUUUUGUUUGGCUAAAGUCUUAAUAAGAAAUAAAGAUGCCGCAUAGAACCCGACCUAUGACAGCCCUUUUGGUGUUUACUGGACUUAAUGUCGCUCUAGUGUCAACCAUAACUCCUGUCUAUGAUUUCGUGUGCUUCCUUCCUUAUUGGGAAAGAAGGAGAGAACGAUGUCGUCAAGAACGUGAAGUUGUUUUAGCAAAGGGGUCCUAGCCAAAAUAAAAGGAUCUAUAAGGUAAGAAGGAUAGGAGGCACAAAGAAGAUUUCUAUGAGUACCUAUAGAUUUUCUCAUUUAUAUUCUGUAUAUUUUAGUGUUGGGGUAUGUGUGGGAUAGCACAUCAAAGAUUUGCAGGAAAUCAUGGUUGAUCUGUCUCUAUUGAACAGUUUUCUUUAUGUUCCAUCUAGGCAUUGCAAUACAAGCUUUUCAUUCAA